GAUGAAGAACGCAGCGAAAUGCGAUAAGUAAUGUGAAUUGCAGAAUUCAGUGAAUCAUCGAAUCUUUGAACGCACAUUGCGCCCGCCAGUAUUCUGGCGGGCAUGCCUGUUCGAGCGUCAUUUCAACCCUCAAGCCCCCGGGCUUGGUGUUGGGGAUCGGCGUGCCCUCGCGGCGCGCCGUCCCCUAAAUCUAGUGGCGGUCUCGCUGUAGCUUCCUCUGCGUAGUAGCAACACUCGCACUGGAUCGCAGCGCAGCCACGCCGUUAAACCCCCCACUUCUGAAAGUUUGACCUCGGAUCAGGUAGGAAUACCCGCUGAACUUAAGCAUAUCAAUAAGCGGAGGA
Molecule: unclassified non-coding RNA, 344 nt
Filed under: soil metagenome
Description: partial contains 5.8S ribosomal RNA, internal transcribed spacer 2, and large subunit ribosomal RNA
Rfam family: 5.8S ribosomal RNA (bases 1-120)
Source: RNAcentral